AGUGAACGCUGGCGGUAGGCCUAACACAUGCAAGUCGAACGGCAGCACAGUAAGAGCUUGCUCUUACGGGUGGCGCGUGGCGGACGGGUGAGGAAUACAUCGGAAUCUACUUUUUCGUGGGGGAUAACGUAGGGAAACUUACGCUAAUACCGCAUACGACCUACGGGUGAAAGCAGGGGAUCUUCGGACCUUGCGCGAUUGAAUGAGCCGAUGUCGGAUUAGCUAGUUGGCGGGGUAAAGGCCCACCAAGGCGACGAUCCGUAGCUGGUCUGAGAGGAUGAUCAGACACACUGGAACUGAGACACGUUCCAGACUCCUACGGGAGGCAGCAGUGGGGAAUAUUGGACAAUGGGCGCAAGCCUGAUCCAGCCAUACCGCGUGGGUGAAGAAGGCCUUCGGGUUGUAAAGCCCUUUUGUUGGGAAAGAAAAGCAGCAGGUUAAUACCCCGCUGUUCUGACGGUACCCAAAGAAUAAGCACCGGCUAACUUCGUG
This 492-nucleotide ribosomal RNA is filed under the name uncultured bacterium. Its description in RNAcentral is "partial 16S ribosomal RNA". It matches the Rfam family "Bacterial small subunit ribosomal RNA", at positions 29 to 507 of the family's 1533-position model. The record is from RNAcentral.